AGACGUGAGGACAAUCUGGCUGUAAUAUCUGUCACCCCAUUGAUCGCCAGGGUUGAUUCGGCUGAUCUGGCUGGCUAGGCAGGUGUCCCCUUCAUCCCUCACUACCCUGUGUGCAUCCCUUCCAAAGCUGUGAGCUCAGUGAAAGAGGACGGCCAUCCCAGAUAGAAGGCAUGUACCAUUCUUUGGUCAAAGGUAUACAAUAACUGCGCUCCCCUGCUAGAACCUCCAAACAAACUCUAGGUCCAUUUGUAGGAGACAGGCAUUCAAGUAAGGUGCAUAUGAAGUCAGACAUGACUCAUCAGACAUGAAAGUAAGUGAAGCUGUGAUG
RNAcentral lists this small nuclear RNA (328 nucleotides) under Salvator merianae (Argentine black and white tegu). RNAcentral's name for it is "7SK RNA (ENSSMRG00000013347.1)". It matches the Rfam family "7SK RNA". Rfam says of the family: 7SK was discovered as an abundant small nuclear RNA in the mid-70s but a possible function has only recently been suggested. Two independent studies have found that 7SK RNA binds the CDK9/cyclin T complex (known as elongation factor P-TEFb). The record is from Rfam by way of RNAcentral. Lineage: Eukaryota; Metazoa; Chordata; Lepidosauria; Squamata; Teiidae.